GCCCCCUUGCCGGCCCUCUGCUACUGGUGAGCACCGGCUCCGGCGGUCCGGCGUCCUCUGCGGCUGAUUUUUUCCUUUUUUUAGCUUUUUACCUACUGUUAGUGCUUGGAUAAUGACUCAAUUUGAUAUAUACCUACUUAUAGUGCUUGGAUAUGUACGUAUUGUUAGUUCUUUUUAGUUUUUUACCUACUGUUAGUGCUUGGAUAUAUAAAAAAGUCAAUUUGGUGCUUCGAUAUAUAUACUGUUAGUGCUUGGAUAUUUUACGUUGUUCUUCCUGAAUGUCGAAUGCAAGGAAUAGCACUACAGCAGCUUUAGUUUUUCAUCACGAAAAAGUAAUGAAAUAUGGUGUGGUGCGUGCACAGGAGAAGGGACUAGAGAGCAUUAGCAAGACCCAAAUUUUACAUCGAUUUGGACCUCCUAUUAGUCACAGUAGUUUACUUGCUUGGAGUUUUCAUUAUGGCUGUCUCCCAAUAUACAAAUGUACCGAGUUUGAUUACCAUGUUAAGAUUACUUAUAUAAUAUAUAAUGAUAUGUAUACUUCCACGGCGAUGAGAUGAUAUAUAUACUUUUGGCACGGUGGAUUAGCAUUUUUUGUUGUGUCACGUCUUCGUGAUGAGUGGUUUUUUGUUCAUGAUGAUCUUGCUACAAAAUAAUGAUGAAAUAUUUUUUGACACUUCAUGGUCUUGCUAAAAAAUCUAUGAAGGCAUCUAGUAAAUAAAUCUAUGAAGGCAUUGGUCCGUGAUCUAAGCUUUUGACACUUGAUGAUCUAAGUUUUUUUGUCGGUAAAAUUUACAGGCUUUCUGGUGUUGCAUAUCUUUGGAGUCAUCGUCGUCGAAGGCAUUGGUCUGUGAUUUCGUCGCUGUUUGACUACUUCGUCUACAGUCGAGGGUGAGCUACAAAUCCAUCUUAAUAAUCAUGUCACUAGAUUUUCUUUUCUCGUCAAGUCGCGUAACCUAGGCGUCUCUCGUCCGAAAUGGUUG
This 980-nucleotide long non-coding RNA is filed under the name Triticum aestivum (bread wheat). Its description in RNAcentral is "long non-coding RNA (TAES_LNC020161)". Lineage: Eukaryota; Viridiplantae; Streptophyta; Magnoliopsida; Poales; Poaceae. The record is from RNAcentral.